This is a non-coding RNA of Kwoniella newhampshirensis, 97 nucleotides long. The record is from the annotation of a GenBank genome assembly. Lineage: Eukaryota; Fungi; Basidiomycota; Tremellomycetes; Tremellales; Cryptococcaceae.
GUCCGUGUGGCCUAAUGGUCAAGGCGCCUGCCUUCUAUGUGUAUGCAUAGGGAGCAACUCCAGCAGGAGAUUGCGGGUUCGAGUCCCACCAUGGACU